UCGAGGCGUUCACGGUCGAAAACGCGUCGUCCGACACUCGACACGCGCUCCAUUUUACACGCUGGAGAAUCGCUAGGAACCGUAACCUUUUGUUCCAGUUCCGAUGAUUCUCGAAGCCGCAAGAUUCUCUCUCCUUCGAUUCGACGACUCAACGAGUGAUUUCUCGCUGCGAGGAAAGGAAAGAAGGGAGAACGAAGAGGAUUAAUCGGGGGACGGAAUCGUCGACGUCGAAUACCAACGACAAUAUGCCGGAUUAAAAACGGUGCUUGCCUCGACGGAAUGCGGGUAACGCGAGAUCGGGGCAGAUGGCGUUUGUGCACACGCUUGCAUCGUGUCGCAUAACACCGCCAUCUUGGAGGAUUCGGUUUUCUCUUUUACAGAGACGUGUCCUUACAAGAGCUCGCGAGGAAUUCCUCGCGGAUUCGUGUUCCCAACGUUUGGAAUCUCGUUUUAGACGAGAGAUUUUCGCGAGAAGAAAUCUGGAGGAAAAAGGUCCAUUGAGAUCGUUGACGAAAUUUAGGUAUUCGGUUAAUCCAGUUCUUUGUUUUAAAUUAUCAUGCGAAUUUUGGGAUCGUGGAAAAACUGAUCGUGGAUCAAAAGAAAAUCGAAAGGGAAUUGUCGAUGAAUCUUGACAAGUUGGUCGAACAAGACAACUUGUUAUGGAGGGAACAUUGAAUUUCUAUCUGAAAGAAAGAGAAUUUUAAUGACGAAAACGAAUUUUAUGAUACAGAGUGAAAGUGUGAUUUUUAUUUCAUAAGAAAGAAAAAGAAUACGUAAUUGGUGGGCAAGUGUUGAAUCGUAAAGGUAUUCUAAGCGCUAUUCAAAAGUACAGAGGUCACGCAUAUACGACAUAUAUAACUAUAAAAACGUAAAAUUUUCUAUUCGAAAAUAUUAAAGGUUAAAAAGGAAUUUUACGCGAGUGAAAGUGUAAAAAUUUCAAUAUCAAUUAUCGAAUAAUCAAACGAAGAGAAUUAUUUUUGGCAUUCAAAGAUUACAGGGAUCGUGUAAAAGAUCCGGUUUCCCCUCCCAUUCGAAGGAGAAUAUUAAAUACAAACGAAUCUCGUGAUACGAAAGUUUCGUGAUUUCAUUUUCGCUCGAAAUUGAAAAUGUCGCAAUAGAUAGGAUGAUUAUUAAAUACGAAUUGAUCGAAAUCGACGGUAGAAAUAUUAUUCAAAGGUAACAGAGGUCACGCAUAUAUCCUCGAGGUUCGAGCUCCACACCCGCUUCGCCAAAAUUACUCGUUGAAUUAUUUAAUUCCGAGCAUCGUUUUCGCGGCGAAUACCUGUCGCUUUCCAUCCGCUCCGAAUACCGCUGAAAACAAUUCGAGCUGACGUAUCAGAGACGUCCCGCCACUUCAAAAAUGAACGAAUCAACGAUUGGUCGAGUUUCGAACAGUUAUGCGAUUCAACGAUACGAUCCGUGAAAAUCGGCCGAUGGAAUUUCCUCGACGAAUUUGAAGCGAAAUUCUCGAAUCACGUAUUUCUCUUGCAAUUACGCGCGUACGCAGGCUGUGUCGCUUUGAAAUAUCUACACGUGUAUAUCUCUUUUCGGUUCGUUAGCGUUGAUCAUUAUACUUGGCAAGCACGUUCGUUCCCCGGCUUAACGUUAUAAUUCGAUAACAAGGCAAGCAACAUUUGCUAAUAACGUUAAAGGGGGAGCCUUUAUAUCGUGAUCAUUCAGCCACGGGUUUCUAUAUCGAUAUUAGCGAGGAGCUACGUCGGUUCAUCGUGUCAAUUUUCAAUCUUUCCUUCGCAAGAAAUUCUACGCGAUGUCUAUAAGGAGAAUAUUGGAGAGUGGCACCAUCUUUCGAGCCAUCGCGAAGAGUGAUGACGUACGUGCAAUUAAAGUCCGUUCGAUUCGCCCGUACAAUACGAAACUUUUAUUUUAUAUUUAUUUAUAUUCGAUUAACAGUUGAAUUCAAUUAAUUCUCCGGUUAUUAAAAUAUCAACGAAUUACAAAUCGCAUAACAGUGUAAUUAUACGACAAAACUACCUAUCGCACGAUUGGUAGUUCGUUUGUUAUUGGAUAAGUUUAUUACUCGUUAUUGCCACUUCGUCGAAAAUAGAAAAACACUUGUACACUUUCGAAUCUUUAUUUUGGAUGAAUUAUCCGAUAGUAACACGUUAUCGAAUGAGCACAAACGUCGUGUAAACUCGAAACAACAUCGCUAUUACGCGAGUUUACGUACACGUCGAGCCGAAGCGUGGCCUGAUAUAAGCAAAAUGCAUAGACCAUCGUGUGUUUGAACGAAUAAUCGAAAAACAGGGCUCUUUGCUGUUACUCUCGACAAGGACGCUGCCGUCACGCGACGAGAUACCGCAUUUGUUGCCAAUACCAGGUUAUUUUCCGUGCAUUUCCAGUUACAACGAGCAGAGAUUAACGGUCGAAUACUCGUCGACGUUUCUCGUCUCUUCGUAACGUCGAGAGAAUUCAGAGAGAAUUAUCCAUUAAUAUUUCGGCGUGCGUUCCAACGAACUCUUGCCUCUCUACGAAAAUACGUUUCCUCUCGAAUGCUCGCUUAACGCGAAUCUCGUUCCACCGCGAAAAAGAAAGCAGAAGGCUCGAAAUUGGCGUCAUUAAGUCGGCCGGAGCGGAGCGUGCAUGCAAUUAACUCGAGUGUUCUCGUUAAAGACGCUCAAAGAGUCCGGUUUCGAUUGUUACGUUAAUUGGAUCGAAAAAAAAGAAAUAAUAAAAAAAAAAUGAAAGAAGAUAAAAGAUCCCCGAGGAGUUGAAUUUUAUUCGGCAUACCUGUUGAACCUGUCUAGAAACUCACGGAAGAAAUUGAUAUUCGUAGGAAGGGAGAGGGAAUCGGCUGCCAAGUAUUUCAUCGGCCACCGCAUCGAGACCUCGAUAAUCGAUGUUAACGACAAAUAAAUCCUGUUCUACUGCCACUAUUUCUUCCAUAUAUCUUUUAAAUAUAAUAUUAUUUGCCUACACUCAAUCCUCCGGGGAUAAUUUUCAACUCUUCAGAUACGAUAUUCGUCGAGUAGAUAUAAGAUAUAUUUAUUUAUAACUUGUUUAUAGUCGGAGAAAAAACGGGAUAAAAAAAUUAAAAAGUAUCGAUUAAAAAAAGACGAUUCGCUGUGAGGAGAGGAAAAGAAGAAAAAUCAAUUUCUGACUGAUCUUGAGCAAAGUGCAAGCAAUCCAAACCUUUUAUUUCGGAUCUUUUAUUUCGGAUCGAUUCAAUUUUCCGCAACUUUCGUCGUGCAAAAAAGUAGAUUAGAAUCAUAUUUUGUACAAAAGAAAACGCACGCUUUAACGCUAUACACGUAACGCGAGAGGAAGCAAAAAGUUAAAAAGGACAUGCUUUAAUUAUAAAUGACGCGGUAAUAAUUUCAAUCGAUCGAAUAUCUUGGCGUGACAUCGUUGCUUACUAUUUACGCGCAAAUGGUACGACACGACGCGAUGUUUACCUUCGUUAACGAGAAAUAUUCCCAAAUUCUAUGCAUAGAUUCCGUCGUAAAUAUCGUCGUUAUCAAUCUGAGCAAGGUCAGACAAACAAAUACGCAAUUCUUGGAAUUCCGUUGGUCUCGAACGAUGACAUCAUUCACGAGUUUGGAUAUUACACGUACCGAUAAUUCAUCACGCUCGCGGUAAACUCGUAUUUGUACAUCGAUCGCGAGUUGCGCUUCGAACCGAAACCGAGGGAGGGGAGGGGAGAAAGAAAAGAAACAUGGUCGAAACGAAGGCUCGAUACGUAAAACGUGUGGAAUCGUGUCGCAGACAAAGGAAUACAGGAGGUCGAGUAAGAGGGACCGAGGAGAUCGCGGCAUGAAAUUCAAUUGGUUCCGCGUUUGCACAGCUUACCGCCGGCCGAUGACAUCACAUCCAAACAUGGUCACCGUGUUUCAAGCGAUUGAUCGAUAUCUCAUUGAACGUCACGGUGUCAAAGGAAACGCUCUACGCUUGUGAGAAAAUCGGAUAAUGUGCGCUGCCCCUGUAAAACGGCAACCUUUAUUACAUCGCUGUCAACGAUCGUGAUUAGUGCUAUGAAAAUGUUACCGACGGUACCUAGAUAUGAAAUUUUCAAUUUUAAUCGUUGGAAAGUAAUUUUUGUUCACGCUCGAGUAAAUAUCUAUAGAAAAAAAUUUUUUUAUACUUUUGGAUGAAGUUUUUAAAAAACAGGCUGUAAAAAUUUAUUUUACGUUUUAUAUGUCGUACUUUUUAUAUCCAUACUUUUAUCGAAUAAAAGGAAAAAAAAAAUUUAUUUUAUAUUCUUCACUUAAUACAUUUUUUUUUUCUAUUCUUUGCAUUUUAGAUUAAAUUAUUAAACAUUUGAAUCAAUUUGUUUUAAAAAAUGAUUACAAGAAAAAAGUAACAAAUGAUAAAAAAAUAUUAAUGUUUCAUCUUUUUUUUCACUUCCAAAUACAAAUAUCGCAUAUAUACAUAUAUUUUGUCGUAAAUAUUAUAAAAAGUUUCGAAAAAUUUGAAACAUUAAAUCGGCACUUACCUUCAGUUACACCAUUCUAACGCCGUUUCUAUAUAAUGUAUCGAUCAACGUCUCGUAGAAAGAUGACAGUAGUUGUUCGAUCAUUGCCAAAUCGCGAUGUUAUGACGUUAAUCGGCUGAAGGGAUGCAAUUUCAAACAACGCAUUGUUAUCCGACGAAAUUGAACGAACGUUUGGCACACAUUCGGUAACGGCGAAACGCCGUUGCACCGACGGCGGUUCGCACCUCACAGAUACAUCGCGACGUCUGACGUUCCCGCGCCCAUUGGCGUCGAAGUAGCGUUGUCAUAACAACCGCGCAUAACAAUUUUUGUACACGCGCAAUAUGUUUCUAUUCUGUAAAUUAUACGCGGCAAUAUUCGGACUAUAGAAAAUAAUUUUUGCUAAAAUAUUGUCGACAACCAUAGAAAAUAUGGUGAGUGUAUUUCGAUCAUUCUAUUUAUUGCAUAAAUAUAAAAAUAAUUGUAUACUUUAAGUUUAUAUUUAUUUAUAUAUAUUUAUUUUAAAAAUAUAUGUAACGAUUAGAAAAAGAAAGUGACAACUAAAAUUUUAAUAUUAAUAAUAUUAAUAAUAUUAUAAUUUAUAUCAAGAUUUUAAUUAUGUCAAUAUCUUUUUAAUUAUAAAUAAAUUCAUUUUAUGGUUGAUUUUUAUUAAUA
Apis cerana (Asiatic honeybee) is the source of this 5104-nucleotide long non-coding RNA. RefSeq lists it as uncharacterized. Lineage: Eukaryota; Metazoa; Arthropoda; Insecta; Hymenoptera; Apidae. The record is from RefSeq and is a predicted model, not a curated record.